RNAcentral lists this ribosomal RNA (420 nucleotides) under uncultured bacterium. Its description in RNAcentral is "bacterial SSU rRNA". It matches the Rfam family "Bacterial small subunit ribosomal RNA", at positions 29 to 494 of the family's 1533-position model. The record is from RNAcentral.
AACGAACGCUGGCGGCAGGCCUAACACAUGCAAGUCGAACGAACCCUUCGGGGUGAGUGGCGCACGGGUGCGUAACGCGUGGGAAUGUACACCUAGGUAAGGAAUAACUGCUGGAAACGGUAGCUAAUACCUUAUAAUGACUCCGGUCCAAAGAUUUAUCGCCUAGGGAUCAGCCCGCGUCAGAUUAGAUAGUUGGUGGGGUAAUGGCCUACCAAGUCGACGAUCUGUAGCUGGUCUGAGAGGAUGAUCAGCCACACUGGUACUGAGACACGGACCAGACUCCUACGGGAGGCAGCAGUGAGGAAUAUUGCGCAAUGGGCGAAAGCCUGACGCAGCCAUGCCGCGUGAGUGAAGAAGGCUCUAGGGUUGUAAAGCUCUUUCAGAUGCGAAGAUAAUGACGGUAACAUCAGAAGAAGCCCC